This 238-nucleotide long non-coding RNA is filed under the name Lathyrus oleraceus (garden pea). RNAcentral describes it as "Pisum sativum (pea) long non-coding RNA (PSAT_LNC029697)". Lineage: Eukaryota; Viridiplantae; Streptophyta; Magnoliopsida; Fabales; Fabaceae. The record is from RNAcentral.
AAAAGUUACUUAUGGGAGACAGGUGGCUAUGAAAUGUUAGACAUGCGAUCGUAUGCACUAUGCUAAUGCAAUAUGAUUGAUCUUUUUUUUACAAUCUCUCCUUUCUCUUUUUAUUAACAAGAUUUCUUUUUCUUUUUCUUUUUCUUUUUACCAAGAUCUCCAGAAAGUAAUGAAAGAAGUUUCCGUUGGGGGAAAUGGUGAAAGAUGUUUGAAAAAUGGUUUACCAGGUGGAGCCUGG